This is a long non-coding RNA of Perca fluviatilis (European perch), 337 nucleotides long. RefSeq lists it as uncharacterized. The transcript has 3 exons. Lineage: Eukaryota; Metazoa; Chordata; Actinopteri; Perciformes; Percidae. The record is from RefSeq and is a predicted model, not a curated record.
GAAGUGGUCAAAUGAGGCCGUGCUUACAUCCGCAGCAAAGGUAUGGAAGUAGGGCUGAGGCGAGGAGUAAACUAUCUGGUUGUAGAGCUCCUGCUCCCAAACCUGCCUCCCUGUCUGUGGAAAAACACACGACGCAGAGCACACUUGAAUGUGUAACUUCCAUUUUCAGAGGGAGGGAGUGCACUGUUGUUCUUCUCCUGCUAUGUUUUACCGGGAAAAGAACCACGGGAACGGUGAGAGUGACGGCCACCAGCACAGCUAGACGCACACAGAGAACCAGGACAUCCAGGGUGUCCACUUGACUGUAGGUAUGUAACAGCUCUGACUCCACAGCACC